This 443-nucleotide ribosomal RNA is filed under the name uncultured bacterium. RNAcentral describes it as "partial 16S ribosomal RNA". It matches the Rfam family "Bacterial small subunit ribosomal RNA", at positions 338 to 795 of the family's 1533-position model. The record is from RNAcentral.
CCUACGGGAGGCAGCAGUGGGGAAUAUUGGACAAUGGGGGGAACCCUGAUCCAGCGACGCCGCGUGAGUGAAGAAGUAUUUCGGUAUGUAAAGCUCUAUCAGCAGGGAAGAAAGAAAUGACGGUACCUGACUAAGAAGCCCCGGCUAACUACGUGCCAGCAGCCGCGGGAAUACGUAGGGGGCAAGCGUUAUCCGGAUUUACUGGGUGUAAAGGGAGCGUAGACGGCGAUGCAAAUCUGAAGUGAAAGGCGGGGGCCCAACCCCCGGACUGCUUUGGAAACUGUAUGGCUGGAGUGCAGGAGAGGUAGGUGGAAUUCCUGGUGUAGCGGUGAAAUGCGUAGAUAUUAGGAAGAACACCAGUGGUGAAGGCGGCUUACUGGACUGUAACUGACGUUGAGGCUCGAAAGCGUGGGGAGCAAACAGGAUUAGAUACCCGUGUAGUC